UGGGGAAUAUUGCACAAUGGGCGGAAGCCUGAUGCAGCGACGCCGCGUGGGGGAUGAAGGCCUUCGGGUUGUAAACUCCUUUCGACAGGGACGAAGCGUAAGUGACGGUACCUGUAUAAGAAGCACCGGCUAACUACGUGCCAGCAGCCGCGGUAAUACGUAGGGUGCGAGCGUUGUCCGGAACUACUGGGCGUAAAGAGCUCGUAGGUGGUUUGUCGCGUCGUCUGUGAAAUUCCGGGGCUUAACUCCGGGCGUGCAGGCGAUACGGGCUGACUUGAGUGCUGUAGGGGAGACUGGAAUUCCUGGUGUAGCGGUGAAAUGCGCAGAUAUCAGGAGGAAUACCGAUGGCGAAGGCAGGUCUCUGGGCAGUAACUGACGCUGAGGAGCGAAAGCAUGGGUAGCGAACAGGAUUAGAUACCCUGGUAGUCCAUGCCGUAAACGGUGGGCGCUAGGUGUAGGGGGCUUCCACGUCUUCUGUGCCGUAGCUAACGCAUUAAGCGCCCCGCCUGGGGAGUACGGCCGCAAGGCUA
RNAcentral lists this ribosomal RNA (530 nucleotides) under uncultured bacterium. RNAcentral describes it as "bacterial SSU rRNA". It matches the Rfam family "Bacterial small subunit ribosomal RNA", at positions 355 to 896 of the family's 1533-position model. The record is from RNAcentral.